AUGCGGAGGAGCAGCUGUGCCGCAUCUGCCGCCUCCCCGCCGGGCCGGGCCGCCCCCUGCGCCGCCCCUGCGCCUGCCGCAGCAGCAUCAGGUUCGUCCACGACGACUGCCAGCUCCGGUGGAUCGCCACCCGCGGAAAACCCCGCUGCGAGGCGUGCAACCACGGCAUCUCCACCCGACUUUUGUACGCCACGGACGCACCUGCGAGGCUGCCCAUUUCUGAGUUCAUAG
RNAcentral lists this ribosomal RNA (231 nucleotides) under Triticum aestivum (bread wheat). Its description in RNAcentral is "partial small subunit ribosomal RNA". Lineage: Eukaryota; Viridiplantae; Streptophyta; Magnoliopsida; Poales; Poaceae. The record is from RNAcentral.